UGCGUAGGUGGUUAUAAAAGUUUGUGGUGUAAGUGCAGUGCUUAACGCUGUGAGGCUAUGAAAACUAUAUAACUAGAGUGAGACAGAGGCAAGUGGAAUUCCAUGUGUAGCGGUAAAAUGCGUAAAUAUAUGGAGGAACACCAGUGGCGAAGGCGGCUUGCUGGGUCUAUACUGACACUGAUGCACGAAAGCGUGGGGAGCAAACA
This 206-nucleotide ribosomal RNA is filed under the name uncultured Acholeplasma sp. RNAcentral describes it as "partial 16S ribosomal RNA". It matches the Rfam family "Bacterial small subunit ribosomal RNA", at positions 568 to 774 of the family's 1533-position model. Lineage: Bacteria; Bacillati; Mycoplasmatota; Mollicutes; Acholeplasmatales; Acholeplasmataceae. The record is from RNAcentral.